Molecule: ribosomal RNA, 253 nt
Filed under: uncultured bacterium
Lineage: Bacteria
Description: partial 16S ribosomal RNA
Rfam family: Bacterial small subunit ribosomal RNA
Source: RNAcentral
UACGUAGGGUGCGAGCGUUAAUCGGAAUUACUGGGCGUAAAGCGUGCGCAGGCGGUUCGUUAAGUCCGAUGUGAAAGCCCCGAGCUUAACUUGGGAAUGGCAUUGGAAACUGGCGGGCUGGAGUGUGGCAGAGGGGGGUGGAAUUCCACGUGUAGCAGUGAAAUGCGUAGAGAUGUGGAGGAUCACCGAUGGCGAAGGCAGCCCCCUGGGCCAACACUGACGCUCAGGCACGAAAGCGUGGGGAGCAAACAGG